CCAGACUCCUACGGGAGGCAGCAGUCGGGAAUAUUGCGCAAUGGAGGAAACUCUGACGCAGUGACGCCGCGUAUAGGAAGAAGGUUUUCGGAUUGUAAACUAUUGUCGUUAGGGAAGAUAAAAGACAGUACCUAAGGAGGAAGCUCCGGCUAACUACGUGCCAGCAGCCGCGGUAAUACGUAGGGAGCAAGCGUUAUCCGGAUUUAUUGGGUGUAAAGGGUGCGUAGACGGGAAAUUAAGUUAGUUGUGAAAUCCCUCGGCUCAACUGAGGAACUGCAACUAAAACUGAUUUUCUUGAGUGCAGGAGAGGUAAGUGGAAUUCCUAGUGUAGCGGUGAAAUGCGUAGAUAUUAGGAGGAACACCAGUGGCGAAGGCGACUUACUGGACUGUAACUGACGUUGAGGCACGAAAGUGUGGGGAGCAAACAGGAUUAGAUACCCCGGUA
This 445-nucleotide ribosomal RNA is filed under the name uncultured bacterium. RNAcentral's name for it is "bacterial SSU rRNA". It matches the Rfam family "Bacterial small subunit ribosomal RNA", at positions 331 to 792 of the family's 1533-position model. The record is from RNAcentral.